Long non-coding RNA from Paramisgurnus dabryanus, 465 nucleotides. RefSeq lists it as uncharacterized. The record is from RefSeq and is a predicted model, not a curated record. NCBI's taxonomy places the organism in Eukaryota, Metazoa, Chordata, Actinopteri, Cypriniformes, Cobitidae.
UACAAUUUUUAGACAAUUAAAGCUGGUUAAAGGAACUUUUAUUUUGGAAAAAGAACUGCUGCUGUUUCAAGACAUGCGCACUAGCUGCGACAUCUAGUGACGACAUUUACCGGGCUUUAACGGUUGUUGCUGCAUGAAGUCUGCUGCAAUUUCUCUGAGAUUUCUCAAGAUCAUCAGUUUGGACAGAAUUCAUUUGAAGAAUUAAUAGCACUAGCAGGUUCCAAUAAAGGCUGGAACAGAACAGACAGAAAAGAAUCUGUUCAGAAAAAGUACUGUUCGUGCACCAGAUGGUGAAGUAGAAAAGUUCAUAAAAACUUCUGCAGCUUGCAUCUGACAGAGAUGCAAAAAGAAGAAGAGAGCGGGCCUGAAAACAAGCAAAUUCAAGGGUACACUUGAGGAGUGUCCAGAUGUUUAUUAAUGUUUGAUUAAUGUAAUGUUAUGUUUCAAAUAAACAUGUAAACAUAC